GGAGGUGUGGCAGAGUGGUCGAAUGCACCGGUCUUGAAAACCGGCGUGCGUGAAAGCGCACCGUGGGUUCGAAUCCCACCGCCUCCGCCA
This 90-nucleotide transfer RNA is filed under the name Pseudoruegeria sp. M32A2M. RNAcentral's name for it is "tRNA-Ser". It matches the Rfam family "tRNA". From Rfam's summary of the family: Transfer RNA (tRNA) molecules are approximately 80 nucleotides in length. RNAcentral also lists the same sequence under 1 other name. Lineage: Bacteria; Pseudomonadati; Pseudomonadota; Alphaproteobacteria; Rhodobacterales; Roseobacteraceae. The record is from RNAcentral.